Molecule: ribosomal RNA, 253 nt
Filed under: uncultured bacterium
Lineage: Bacteria
Description: partial 16S ribosomal RNA
Rfam family: Bacterial small subunit ribosomal RNA
Source: RNAcentral
UACGUAGGGCGCAAGCGUUGUCCGGAAUUAUUGGGCGUAAAGAGCUCGUAGGCGGCCAGUCGCGUCUGCUGUGAAAUCCCGGGGCUCAACCCCGGGCGUGCAGUGGAUACGGGCUGGCUGGAGGCAGGCAGGGGAGAACGGAAUUCCCGGUGUAGCGGUGAAAUGCGCAGAUAUCGGGAGGAACACCGGUGGCGAAGGCGGUUCUCUGGGCCUGUACUGACGCUGAGGAGCGAAAGCGUGGGGAGCGAACAGG